AUUGAACGCUGGCGGCAGGCUUAACACAUGCAAGUCGAGCGGGGUGAUGGUGCUUGCACUAUCACUUAGCGGCGGACGGGUGAGUAAUGCUUAGGAAUCUGCCUAUUAGUGGGGGACAACAUCUCGAAAGGGAUGCUAAUACCGCAUACGUCCUACGGGAGAAAGCAGGGGAUCACUUGUGACCUUGCGCUAAUAGAUGAGCCUAAGUCGGAUUAGCUAGUUGGUGGGGUAAAGGCCUACCAAGGCGACGAUCUGUAGCGGGUCUGAGAGGAUGAUCCGCCACACUGGGAAUGAGACACGGCCCAGACUCCUACGGGAGGCAGGAGUGGGGAAUAUUGGACAAUGGGGGGAACCCUGAUCCAGCCAUGCCGCGUGUGUGAAGAAGGCCUUAUGGUUGUAAAGCACUUUAAGCGAGGAGGAGGCUCUUUUGGUUAAUACCCAAGAUGAGUGGACGUUACUCGCAGAAUAAGCACCGGCUAACUCUGUGCCAGCCGCCGCAGUAA
Molecule: ribosomal RNA, 503 nt
Filed under: uncultured bacterium
Lineage: Bacteria
Description: partial 16S ribosomal RNA
Rfam family: Bacterial small subunit ribosomal RNA
Source: RNAcentral